GAUCAAAUCACAUAUACCGGCUGC
RNAcentral lists this non-coding RNA (24 nucleotides) under Arabidopsis thaliana (thale cress). Lineage: Eukaryota; Viridiplantae; Streptophyta; Magnoliopsida; Brassicales; Brassicaceae. The record is from RNAcentral.